GGGUUGUGAGGUUAAGCGACUAAGCGUACACGGUGGAUGCCCUGGCAGUCAGAGGCGAUGAAGGACGUGCUAAUCUGCGAUAAGCGUCGGUAAGGUGAUAUGAACCGUUAUAACCGGCGAUUUCCGAAUGGGGAAACCCAGUGUGUUUCGACACACUAUCAUUAACUGAAUCCAUAGGUUAAUGAGGCGAACCGGGGGAACUGAAACAUCUAAGUACCCCGAGGAAAAGAAAUCAACCGAGAUUCCCCCAGUAGCGGCGAGCGAACGGGGAGGAGCCCAGAGCCUGAAUCAGUGUGUGUGUUAGUGGAAGCGUCUGGAAAGGCGCGCGAUACAGGGUGACAGCCCCGUACACAAAAAUGCACAUGCUGUGAGCUCGAUGAGUAGGGCGGGACACGUGGUAUCCUGUCUGAAUAUGGGGGGACCAUCCUCCAAGGCUAAAUACUCCUGACUGACCGAUAGUGAACCAGUACCGUGAGGGAAAGGCGAAAAGAACCCCGGCGAGGGGAGUGAAAAAGAACCUGAAACCGUGUACGUACAAGCAGUGGGAGCACGCUUAGGCGUGUGACUGCGUACCUUUUGUAUAAUGGGUCAGCGACUUAUAUUCUGUAGCAAGGUUAACCGAAUAGGGGAGCCGAAGGGAAACCGAGUCUUAACUGGGCGUUAAGUUGCAGGGUAUAGACCCGAAACCCGGUGAUCUAGCCAUGGGCAGGUUGAAGGUUGGGUAACACUAACUGGAGGACCGAACCGACUAAUGUUGAAAAAUUAGCGGAUGACUUGUGGCUGGGGGUGAAAGGCCAAUCAAACCGGGAGAUAGCUGGUUCUCCCCGAAAGCUAUUUAGGUAGCGCCUCGUGAAUUCAUCUCCGGGGGUAGAGCACUGUUUCGGCAAGGGGGUCAUCCCGACUUACCAACCCGAUGCAAACUGCGAAUACCGGAGAAUGUUAUCACGGGAGACACACGGCGGGUGCUAACGUCCGUCGUGAAGAGGGAAACAACCCAGACCGCCAGCUAAGGUCCCAAAGUCAUGGUUAAGUGGGAAACGAUGUGGGAAGGCCCAGACAGCCAGGAUGUUGGCUUAGAAGCAGCCAUCAUUUAAAGAAAGCGUAAUAGCUCACUGGUCGAGUCGGCCUGCGCGGAAGAUGUAACGGGGCUAAACCAUGCACCGAAGCUGCGGCAGCGACGCUGAUGCGUUGUUGGGUAGGGGAGCGUUCUGUAAGCCUGCGAAGGUGUGCUGUGAGGCAUGCUGGAGGUAUCAGAAGUGCGAAUGCUGACAUAAGUAACGAUAAAGCGGGUGAAAAGCCCGCUCGCCGGAAGACCAAGGGUUCCUGUCCAACGUUAAUCGGGGCAGGGUGAGUCGACCCCUAAGGCGAGGCCGAAAGGCGUAGUCGAUGGGAAACAGGUUAAUAUUCCUGUACUUGGUGUUACUGCGAAGGGGGGACGGAGAAGGCUAUGUUGGCCGGGCGACGGUUGUCCCGGUUUAAGCGUGUAGGCUGGUUUUCCAGGCAAAUCCGGAAAAUCAAGGCUGAGGCGUGAUGACGAGGCACUACGGUGCUGAAGCAACAAAUGCCCUGCUUCCAGGAAAAGCCUCUAAGCAUCAGGUAACAUCAAAUCGUACCCCAAACCGACACAGGUGGUCAGGUAGAGAAUACCAAGGCGCUUGAGAGAACUCGGGUGAAGGAACUAGGCAAAAUGGUGCCGUAACUUCGGGAGAAGGCACGCUGAUAUGUAGGUGAAGUCCCUUGCGGAUGGAGCUGAAAUCAGUCGAAGAUACCAGCUGGCUGCAACUGUUUAUUAAAAACACAGCACUGUGCAAACACGAAAGUGGACGUAUACGGUGUGACGCCUGCCCGGUGCCGGAAGGUUAAUUGAUGGGGUCAGCGCAAGCGAAGCUCUUGAUCGAAGCCCCGGUAAACGGCGGCCGUAACUAUAACGGUCCUAAGGUAGCGAAAUUCCUUGUCGGGUAAGUUCCGACCUGCACGAAUGGCGUAAUGAUGGCCAGGCUGUCUCCACCCGAGACUCAGUGAAAUUGAACUCGCUGUGAAGAUGCAGUGUACCCGCGGCAAGACGGAAAGACCCCGUGAACCUUUACUAUAGCUUGACACUGAACAUUGAGCCUUGAUGUGUAGGAUAGGUGGGAGGCUUUGAAGUGUGGACGCCAGUCUGCAUGGAGCCGACCUUGAAAUACCACCCUUUAAUGUUUGAUGUUCUAACGUUGACCCGUAAUCCGGGUUGCGGACAGUGUCUGGUGGGUAGUUUGACUGGGGCGGUCUCCUCCUAAAGAGUAACGGAGGAGCACGAAGGUUGGCUAAUCCUGGUCGGACAUCAGGAGGUUAGUGCAAUGGCAUAAGCCAGCUUGACUGCGAGCGUGACGGCGCGAGCAGGUGCGAAAGCAGGUCAUAGUGAUCCGGUGGUUCUGAAUGGAAGGGCCAUCGCUCAACGGAUAAAAGGUACUCCGGGGAUAACAGGCUGAUACCGCCCAAGAGUUCAUAUCGACGGCGGUGUUUGGCACCUCGAUGUCGGCUCAUCACAUCCUGGGGCUGAAGUAGGUCCCAAGGGUAUGGCUGUUCGCCAUUUAAAGUGGUACGCGAGCUGGGUUUAGAACGUCGUGAGACAGUUCGGUCCCUAUCUGCCGUGGGCGCUGGAGAACUGAGGGGGGCUGCUCCUAGUACGAGAGGACCGGAGUGGACGCAUCACUGGUGUUCGGGUUGUCAUGCCAAUGGCACUGCCCGGUAGCUAAAUGCGGAAGAGAUAAGUGCUGAAAGCAUCUAAGCACGAAACUUGCCCCGAGAUGAGUUCUCCCUGACCCUUUAAGGGUCCUGAAGGAACGUUGAAGACGACGACGUUGAUAGGCCGGGUGUGUAAGCGCAGCGAUGCGUUGAGCUAACCGGUACUAAUGAACCGUGAGGCUUAACCUUACAACGCCGAAG
Molecule: ribosomal RNA, 2925 nt
Filed under: Escherichia coli
Lineage: Bacteria; Pseudomonadati; Pseudomonadota; Gammaproteobacteria; Enterobacterales; Enterobacteriaceae
Description: partial 23S ribosomal RNA
Rfam family: Bacterial large subunit ribosomal RNA
Source: RNAcentral